Molecule: ribosomal RNA, 468 nt
Filed under: uncultured bacterium
Lineage: Bacteria
Description: partial 16S ribosomal RNA
Rfam family: Bacterial small subunit ribosomal RNA
Source: RNAcentral
GACGAACGCUGGCGGCGUGCUUAACACAUGCAAGUCGAACGGUAAGGCCCUGCUUUUGUGGGGUGCUCGAGUGGCGAACGGGUGAGUAACACGUGAGUAACCUGCCCUUGACUUUGGGAUAACUUCAGGAAACUGGGGCUAAUACCGGAUAGGAGCUCCUGCUGCAUGGUGGGGGUUGGAAAGUUUCGGCGGUUGGGGAUGGACUCGCGGCUUAUCAGCUUGUUGGUGGGGUAGUGGCUCACCAAGGCUUUGACGGGUAGCCGGCCUGAGAGGGUGACCGGCCACAUUGGGACUGAGAUACGGCCCAGACUCCUACGGGAGGCAGCAGUGGGGAAUAUUGCACAAUGGGCGGAAGCCUGAUGCAGCAACGCCGCGUGCGGGAUGACGGCCUUCGGGUUGUAAACCGCUUUCGCCUGUGACGAAGCGUGAGUGACGGUAAUGGGUAAAGAAGCACCGGCUAACUACGUG